Molecule: unclassified non-coding RNA, 193 nt
Filed under: uncultured fungus
Lineage: Eukaryota; Fungi
Description: sequence contains ITS1
Source: RNAcentral
UUAACUAUUAGAUAGUACUCAGACGACAUGAACAUUCAGAGUUUAGGGUCCAAUGGCACGCGCGAGCCAGCCGAAGCCGGUACCCGAAGGCGGCGUGCCAAAGCAACAAAGAUAUAAUACACAAGGGUGAGGUUUGCUACCCGUGAGGGCAGCGAACACUGUAAUGAUCCUUCCGCAGGUUCACCUACGGAAA